GGGGAAUUUUCCGCAAUGGGGGAAACCCUGACGCAGCAACGCCGCGUGAUUGAUGAAGCUUCUAGGAGCGUAAAGAUCUGUCGUGAGGGAAGAAAGAUUCGGAGGUAAAUAAUUUUCGUUUUUGACGGUACCUCGCAAGAAAGCACCGGCUAACUUCGUGCCAGCAGCCGCGGUAAUACGAGGGGUGCUAGCGUUGUCCGGAAUCAUUGGGCGUAAAGGGUCCGUAGGCGGUCUAACAAGUCAAUUGUUAAAUACAUCGGCUUAACCGAUGAAAUGCGAUUGAAACUGUUAGAAUAGAGUUUAGGAGAGGAAAGUGGAAUUUCUGGUGUAGCGGUGACAUGCGUAGAUAUCAGAAGGAACACCAAUGGCGAAGGCAACUUUCUGGCCUAAAACUGACGCUGAGGGACGAAAGCGUGGGGAGCGAACAGGAUUAGAUACCCUGGUAGUCCACGCCGUAAACGAUGAGUAUUUGUUGUCGGGGGAUUCGACCCCUUCGGUAGCGGAGUUAACGCGUUAAAUACUCCGCCUGGGUACUACGACCGCAAGGUCGAAACUCAAAGGAAUUGACGGGGACCCGCACAAGCGGUGGAACAUGUGGUUUAAUUCGAUGCAACGCGAAGAACCUUACCUGGGUUUGACAUGUCACGAAAGCUCUACGAAAGUAGAGCCCUCUGCGAGCUUGCUCAAAGACGUGAUCACAGGUGAUGCAUGGCUUCUCAGCUC
This 723-nucleotide ribosomal RNA is filed under the name uncultured bacterium. RNAcentral's name for it is "bacterial SSU rRNA". It matches the Rfam family "Bacterial small subunit ribosomal RNA", at positions 356 to 1061 of the family's 1533-position model. The record is from RNAcentral.